Molecule: ribosomal RNA, 597 nt
Filed under: uncultured bacterium
Lineage: Bacteria
Description: bacterial SSU rRNA
Rfam family: Bacterial small subunit ribosomal RNA
Source: RNAcentral
GCAGUCGAGCGGUAGAGAGGUGCUUGCACCUCUUGAGAGCGGCGGACGGGUGAGUAAAGCCUAGGAAUCUGCCUGGUAGUGGGGGAUAACGCUCGGAAACGGACGCUAAUACCGCAUACGUCCUACGGGAGAAAGCAGGGGACCUUCGGGCCUUGCGCUAUCAGAUGAGCCUAGGUCGGAUUAGCUAGUUGGUGAGGUAAUGGCUCACCAAGGCGACGAUCCGUAACUGGUCUGAGAGGAUGAUCAGUCACACUGGAACUGAGACACGGUCCAGACUCCUACGGGAGGCAGCAGUGGGGAAUAUUGGACAAUGGGCGAAAGCCUGAUCCAGCCAUGCCGCGUGUGUGAAGAAGGUCUUCGGAUUGUAAAGCACUUUAAGUUGGGAGGAAGGGCAUUAACCUAAUACGUUAGUGUUUUGACGUUACCGACAGAAUAAGCACCGGCUAACUCUGUGCCAGCAGCCGCGGUAAUACAGAGGGUGCAAGCGUUAAUCGGAAUUACUGGGCGUAAAGCGCGCGUAGGUGGUUCGUUAAGUUGGAUGUGAAAUCCCCGGGCUCAACCUGGGAACUGCAUUCAAAACUGUCGAGCUAGAGUAUG